Small nucleolar RNA from Acomys russatus (golden spiny mouse), 126 nucleotides. RefSeq annotates it as small nucleolar RNA SNORA8. The record is from RefSeq and is a predicted model, not a curated record. The transcript has a single exon. Lineage: Eukaryota; Metazoa; Chordata; Mammalia; Rodentia; Muridae.
UGCACUCCAUGUUAUCUGUACUCAGCAGUUCCUUCCUGCUGGGUGUUCAAAAGACAGUGCACUAUCUGGCAUUGUUGGUUUCUUGGCUUUGUGCAUGUUAAACCUGGUUUUUCUAAUGAUACAGUU